UACAGAGGUGGCAAGCGUUGUUCGGAAUUACUGGGCGUAAAGGGCGCGUAGGCGGUCUUUUAAGUUCCGUGUGAAAUCCCUCGGCUCAACUGGGGAACGGCACGGGAAACUGGGAGGCUUGAGUUCGGGAGAGGGAAGCGGAAUUCCGGGUGUAGCGGUGAAAUGCGUAGAUAUCCGGAGGAACACCGGUGGCGAAGGCGGCUUCCUGGACCGACACUGACGCUGAGGCGCGAAAGCUAGGGGAGCAAACGGG
Molecule: ribosomal RNA, 253 nt
Filed under: uncultured bacterium
Lineage: Bacteria
Also listed under: 1 other name
Description: partial 16S ribosomal RNA
Rfam family: Bacterial small subunit ribosomal RNA
Source: RNAcentral